CUACAAACCCGAGCUAUCGUGGCAAGCAAUUGCCAAGGAAAGUCCGGACAGCAUAGGGUAACCCACCGGUGAACAGCCGGCGUCACAGCAAUGGGGCAGAGAAAGUGCCACAGAAAAUAACUACCUCGCAAGAGGAAAAGGUGAAAAUGUACGGUAAGAGCGUACAGAUAUUGCAAGUAAUUGCUUUAUCGGGUAAACCUUGGGUGCUGUAAUGCCACGUAAAGGAGCGCUUGAGAACGACUCGUUCAAGUUCCAGGGUAGGCAGCAAGACUUUAACAGCAAUGUUAAGGCUAGAUAAAUGAUAGUUUAGAAACAGAAUCCGGCUUAUGAGGCUUGUAGUACU
Molecule: RNase P RNA, 343 nt
Filed under: Sediminibacterium sp.
Lineage: Bacteria; Pseudomonadati; Bacteroidota; Chitinophagia; Chitinophagales; Chitinophagaceae
Description: RNase P RNA component class A
Rfam family: Bacterial RNase P class A
About the family: Ribonuclease P (RNase P) is a ubiquitous endoribonuclease, found in archaea, bacteria and eukarya as well as chloroplasts and mitochondria. Its best characterised activity is the generation of mature 5'-ends of tRNAs by cleaving the 5'-leader elements of precursor-tRNAs. Cellular RNase Ps are ribonucleoproteins.
Source: RNAcentral